Molecule: ribosomal RNA, 1371 nt
Filed under: uncultured bacterium
Lineage: Bacteria
Description: bacterial SSU rRNA
Rfam family: Bacterial small subunit ribosomal RNA
Source: RNAcentral
AGAGUUUGAUCCUGGCUCAGAACGAACGCUGGUGGCGUGUCUUAUACAUGCAAGUCGAGCGGUGCAGCAAUGCAUAGCGGCGAACGGGUGAGUAACACGUAAGCAAUCUGCCCCCUACUUGGGAAUAGCCGUGCCAACGCGCGGAUAAUACCGAAUAUCGUGGCGUCCCGCAUGGGACGUUGACGAAAGAUUUAUCGGUAGGGGAUGAGCUUGCGUCCGAUUAGCUAGUUGGCGGGGUAACGGCCCACCAAGGCGAUGACGGGUAGCCGGUCUGAGAGGAUGUCCGGCCACACUGGAACUGAGACACGGUCCAGACACCUACGGGUGGCAGCAGUCGAGAAUCAUUCACAAUGGGGGCAACCCCGAUGGUGCGACGCCGCGUGGGGGAGGAAGGUCUUCGGAUUGUAAACCCCUGUCAUGUGGGAGCAAGGCGCAAGCUUGAUAGUACCACAAGAGGAAGAGACGGCAAACUCUGUGCCAGCAGCCGCGGUAAUACAGAGGUCUCAAGCGUUGUUCGGAAUCACUGGGCGUAAAGGGUACGUAGGCUGCCGUAUAAGUCGUGCGUGAAAGGCAGGGGCUCAACCUCUGGAGUGCGCAUGAUACUGUAUGGCUGGAGUAAUGGAGGGGGAACUGGAAUUCUUGGUGUAGCAGGGAAAUGGCGUAGAUUAUCAAGAAGAAGAAUCGUGGGCGAAGGCGGGUUCUUGGACAUUCAUUGACGCUGAGGUUCGAAGGCCGGGGGAGCGAAAGGGAUUAGAUACCCCUGUAGUCCCGGCAGUAAACGGUGCACGCUUGGUGUGCGGGGAAUCGACCCCCUGCGUGCCGAAGCAAACGCGAUAAGCGUGCCGCCUGGGGAGUACGGUCGCAAGAUUAAAACUCAAAGAAAUUGACGGGGACCCGCACAAGCGGUGGAGUAUGUGGCUUAAUUCGAUGCAACGCGAAGAACCUUACCAAGGCUUGACAUCCCGUGACAGCCUGUGAAAGCAGGUUUUUUCUUCGGAAACACGGAGACAGGUGCUGCAUGGCCGUCGUCAGCUCGUGUCGUGAGAUGUUUGGUUAAGUCCAGCAACGAGCGCAACCCCUGCCGCCAGUUACCAGCAUUAAGUUGGGGACUCUGGCGGGACUGCCCAGAUCAACUGGGAGGAAGGUGGGGACGACGUCAGGUCAGUAUGGCCCUUAUGCCUUGGGCUGCACACGUACUACAAUGCCCAGUACAGAGGGAAGCGAGCGUGCGAGCGCAAGCGGAUCCCGAAAAGUGGGCCCAGUUCGGAUUGGAGGCUGCAACCCGCCUCCAUGAAGCCGGAAUCGCUAGUAAUGGCGCAUCAGCUACGGCGCCGUGAAUACGAUCCCGGGUCUUGUACUCACCGCCGGUCA